UGAACGCUGGCGGCGUGCCUACUACAUGCCAGUCGCGCGACCAGAUGAGGAGCUUGCUCCUCUGACGUUAGCGGCGGACGGGUGAGUAACACGUGGAUAACCUACCUAUAAGACUGGGAUAACUUCGGGAAACCGGAGCUAAUACCGGAUAAUAUAUUGAACCGCAUGGUUCAAUAGUGAAAGACGGUUUUGCUGUCACUUAUAGAUGGAUCCGCGCCGCAUUAGCUAGUUGGUAAGGUAACGGCUUACCAAGGCAACGAUGCGUAGCCGACCUGAGAGGGUGAUCGGCCACACUGGAACUGAGACACGGUCCAGACUCCUACGGGAGGCAGCAGUAGGGAAUCUUCCGCAAUGGGCGAAAGCCUGACGGAGCAACGCCGCGUGAGUGAUGAAGGUCUUCGGAUCGUAAAACUCUGUUAUUAGGGAAGAACAAAUGUGUAAGAAACUAUGCACGUCUUGACGGUACCUAAUCAGAAAGCCACGGCUAACUACGUG
This 495-nucleotide ribosomal RNA is filed under the name uncultured bacterium. RNAcentral describes it as "partial 16S ribosomal RNA". It matches the Rfam family "Bacterial small subunit ribosomal RNA", at positions 30 to 507 of the family's 1533-position model. The record is from RNAcentral.